Molecule: long non-coding RNA, 924 nt
Filed under: Nicotiana benthamiana
Lineage: Eukaryota; Viridiplantae; Streptophyta; Magnoliopsida; Solanales; Solanaceae
Description: long non-coding RNA (NBEN_LNC003189)
Source: RNAcentral
AUUGGAAGCCAUAAUCACACCAGAUAUUCACAGGCAAAACCAAAUAUUCACACACAGAACCAGAUAUUCACACAGAAAAUCAGAUACUCACCUACUGAGCCAGGUAAUCACACAGAACACAUACAAUAGUCAAGAUAAGGAAAGAGUUACCCUCCUUCUUCACGACCGGAGAAGAUCGGCCUUCAAGCAAACAGAGAAAACCCUAGGUUGAAAACCCUAGGUAUAACCGUCAGAAAUCUUACUGUAAGUAUGGUCAGGAAUGUCGGAAAGUCACCCAAAACAUCCUCUGAGUGAGAAUCGAGCCACCGGAUGAUUGUAAAACUUUAGGUUAAACCACCAGAAACCCUAGAAGCCGAUAAGUCACCAAAAAAAUCAACCCAAAAUCAUCAUAAAAUCUUCCAGAACGUUCAGGAGAAGAAGAUACACUCCGAUAUCACAACGAAAGACUCAGAAAAGUCUCCGAGAGGUCGGAAUCUUCAUCGACCGUGAGGUCUCAGAAAUCACCCCCAAAACCUCGAAACGGACUUCAUCUAGGACAACGAAAUGCAUAGAAACAUAGUCGGAUCGUUGUCGAGGCUCUGAUACCAUGUUAACAUCAAGAUUAAACCGAGAAAUCAUGAAGAUUGUAAAGAGAGAAAGUAGAGAGAAGGAGGAUUAUUUGAGAAGUCUCUGGAACUCAGAGAAAAUAUUAUUAAACGAAGCACAGAAGAGAAAUGAAGUCCGAGGUCCAAAAUUUCUAAGGACCCCAUAUAUAUACACAUACAUACAAGUGGGUCGGACCGGGUCGGAUGACCCAAAGGCAGAAAAGGAAUUGGGGCUCAGAUACAGUGGGCUCGGCACAUAUGCAAUUGGCCCAAUAACCAGUAAUCAUCAUAGCCCACACUAAUGUAUACCAGAUAUACAUUAAACAUACACUGCAUAUAC